GCAAGAUCACAGCAAAAUGGAGUAUCUGUGUGAUGGUUGUAUCGCAGGUCUGAAGUGCACAAAGAUGCUAUUUUAGUAGAAAGUCAGAUGUCACAAGUAGUCUUGAGAGUGGAAACAUGAAGCAUGCUUAAAAAUGAGAUGAAAGCUUUGGCAAUAUGGGAAAUUUUAAAAAGACUUAUUUUACCUUUGAAACAAGAUGAAUGUUUUAAAAAAUUCUGAGGAGCACAGCAGCUGGAAGACAAAAAUAACUUACGGAGAAAUUUGAAAAAAGUCAUAUGGACAUACCAAUAGCCC
This 294-nucleotide long non-coding RNA is filed under the name Homo sapiens (human). Its description in RNAcentral is "HSALNT0128079". The record is from RNAcentral. Lineage: Eukaryota; Metazoa; Chordata; Mammalia; Primates; Hominidae.